GGGUGCGGGCUGGUGCAGC
RNAcentral lists this unclassified non-coding RNA (19 nucleotides) under Chlamydomonas reinhardtii. RNAcentral's name for it is "small RNA Cre_1951". Lineage: Eukaryota; Viridiplantae; Chlorophyta; Chlorophyceae; Chlamydomonadales; Chlamydomonadaceae. The record is from RNAcentral.